GAGUCGGACCUGCCCGGUGAAUAUAUUUUAACGGCCGCGGUACUCUGACCGUGCAAAGGUAGCAUAAUCAUUUGCCUUAUAAUUGAAGGCUAGUAUGAAUGGUUUGACGUGAACAAAGCUGUCUCUAUAUAAUUUUUUAGAACUUGAUUUCUAGGUGAAGAAACCUAGAUAAUAUUGAAAGACAAGAAGACCCUAUUGAGCUUUAAAAAAAUAAAUUGAAGAAAUAUAUAAGUUUAAAUAUUAAUCUAUUUUAGAUUUUGGUUGGGGCGACUAUAGAACAAACAAAGCUUCUUUAUGUUAAUAAAACUAACAGGUGUUGAUCCAAAAAUUUUGAUUGAUGAAAUUAGUUACCAUAGGGAUAACAGCAUAAUUCUCUUUGAGAGCUCUUAUCGAAAAGAGGGUUUGUGACCUCGAUGUUGGAUUAGAAUAUCCUAAAGAUGCAGCAGUCUUUAAGGGUUGGUC
Molecule: ribosomal RNA, 462 nt
Filed under: Purpuradusta gracilis gracilis
Lineage: Eukaryota; Metazoa; Mollusca; Gastropoda; Littorinimorpha; Cypraeidae
Description: partial 16S large subunit ribosomal RNA
Rfam family: Bacterial large subunit ribosomal RNA
Source: RNAcentral